ACUCCUACGGGAGGCAGCAGUGGGGGAAUAUUGCACAAUGGGGGGAAACCCUGAUGCAGCCAUGCCGCGUGUGUGAAGAAGGCCUUCGGGUUGUAAAGCACUUUCAGUAGGGAGGAAGGUAGUGUAGUUAACACCUGCAUUAUUUGACGUUACCUACAGAAGAAGCACCGGCUAACUCCGUGCCAGCAGCCGCGGUAAUACGGAGGGUGCGAGCGUUAAUCGGGAAUUACUGGGCGUAAAGCGCAUGCAGGCGGCCUGUUAAGUCAGAUGUGAAAGCCCGGGGCUUAACCGUCGGAAUUGCAUUUGAAACUGGCAGGCUAGAGUCUUGUAGAGGGGUUAGAAUUUCAGGUGUAGCGGUGAAAUGCGUAGAGAUCUGAAGGAAUACCGAGUGGCGAAGGCGGCCCCCGUGGACAAAGACGUGACGCUCAGAUGCGAAAGCGUGGGAGCAAACAGGAUUACGAUA
RNAcentral lists this ribosomal RNA (463 nucleotides) under uncultured bacterium. RNAcentral's name for it is "bacterial SSU rRNA". It matches the Rfam family "Bacterial small subunit ribosomal RNA", at positions 335 to 784 of the family's 1533-position model. The record is from RNAcentral.